UACGUAGGGGGCGAGCGUUGUCCGGAUUCAUUGGGCGUAAAGAGCUCGUAGGCGGCUUGGCAAGUCGGGUGUGAAAACUUCAGGCUCAACCUGGAGAUGCCACUCGAUACUGCUAUGGCUAGAGUCCGGUAGGGGACCACGGAAUUCCUGGUGUAGCGGUGAAAUGCGCAGAUAUCAGGAGGAACACCCGUAGCGAAGGCGGCACUCUGGGCCGAUACUGACACUGAGGAGCGAAAGCGUGGGGAGCGAACAGG
This 254-nucleotide ribosomal RNA is filed under the name uncultured bacterium. RNAcentral describes it as "partial 16S ribosomal RNA". It matches the Rfam family "Bacterial small subunit ribosomal RNA", at positions 524 to 776 of the family's 1533-position model. The record is from RNAcentral.